GUCUACAGCUACGCCACCCCGAACACGCCUGAUCACGUCUGAUCUCGGAAGUUAAGCAGGGUCGGGCCUGGUUAGUACUUGGAUGGGAGACCGCCUGGGAAGACUCGGUGCUGUAGGUG
Pteropus vampyrus (large flying fox) is the source of this 119-nucleotide ribosomal RNA. NCBI's taxonomy places the organism in Eukaryota, Metazoa, Chordata, Mammalia, Chiroptera, Pteropodidae. The record is from Ensembl.